ACUCACUCUUUGACCCCCUAUACUUCAUACUCCAGAGUGACUCCAAACAAAGACUAUGGAACUUCCCACAUACACCCCUUUUGGCUGAGCUGUAUGGCCAUAAGCGUAGAGACUUGCAGCUGUAUGUGGCCGUGAAUGAGAGACCCAGAGAUGGAAGCUUCACAGCAUUUGUGGCAGUAGCGGCAGAAAUGCAUCACACAUUUGAGUCCCUAGAUGGCCUUGUGGAGAAACGUCUACCUGCCACCCUGGACUAUUAGACAUGAAAAAGAUGCAGGCAAGAUAUGGAGUGUCUUCAUGGGGGAGAUUCAGAAGCCAUGGAUGGUGUAGAAAGAAAUAUUCUUCAAACAAAACCUUAUGAGGAACAGAACCAUAGCUCCUGAAACUGUGUGAAAGCAAGAGAAAGAGAGUCUUUUGUCAAUAGUCUGUCCACACAUAUCCAGACCCAACCCAAAGUUACAACCUGACCUCCACGAUCACUUUCCCUCACAGGGACCGCACUAUGAGGAACACGCCAAAGUUGAGAAAGGGUAAGAUUCUUGCCCAACCUCAAGACCAGUGCUAUUCUCUUCACGCCAAGGCAGGAAGAUCACUGAAGCCCAGAAGUUCGAGGCUAAAAUGAGCUAUGAUUGUGCCAACGCACUUCAUCCUAGGCAACAUAGCAAAACCCUAUCUCUAAAAUAUAAACAAGUAAAAUAAAUUUAAAAAUAAUUGUGGCGUGUGGCAAUUAUUGAUAAUGCCUCAUAGCCCCAAAUUCAUCCCUGGUUGCCUUCCCUGUGAAAAUAAAUCUAGGCCCUUCACCUUUAUUUUUUUCUUUUUUGGCUAUCAUGAUGCUAAACUUAUCAGUAGAGGGCAAUACAAAGACAUUUCAAGAAGGCAGAGGCUUCCCUCCUGGUAGUGCACUUUUUCCCCACUGUCUAUUCCACGUGGUUUUCACCAUUGUCAAGGGCUUAGAGGGUACAGCUUUCACAGUGUGUUUUCUACAGUUCUUGACUCAGGAAACAAUGGCAUAGUGGAAGCCCCAGAAAAAUCUGACCUGUGCGCUAGCCCUGUUAACUGCUGCCCACAACCCUGAGUGAUAUGAAUGUAAGGGGUACUGUGGAGCUGAUAAUCAGCAAGCUUGUGGCAUGACCUCCAUCCUGUGUAGCCCAGAGCCACCCUACCCAAGCCACAAAUAGAAAAGCUCUGGGUUUUGAUGCUGACUCUCUAUGGUCCCACUUCUUAGCCUAAGAUCACCUGUGCCCUAGAGAGUUGUACCUACUUCGCCUGGUGACUGUGGACCAGCUCUGCAGGAAGCAAUUUACCAAAUGUCUCUGCGAUCCAGUGGUCAGCAAUUACACCUUCUUCAGUGUGGUCAUAGCCUCUUUCCAAAUUUGUCCUUCCUUAACUACUCUCCCUGUUUUCAUGUUUAUAGUUGUUCUCUUAUCAUUGUUUAAUAAUUUUUAUGUUAAAUUUCCCAUGUUUAAAUUACUAAGUCGAUAUUGUCUCUUGAUUGUACCCAG
Molecule: long non-coding RNA, 1499 nt
Filed under: Homo sapiens (human)
Lineage: Eukaryota; Metazoa; Chordata; Mammalia; Primates; Hominidae
Description: HSALNT0111749
Source: RNAcentral